RNAcentral lists this ribosomal RNA (398 nucleotides) under uncultured bacterium. Its description in RNAcentral is "bacterial SSU rRNA". It matches the Rfam family "Bacterial small subunit ribosomal RNA", at positions 28 to 429 of the family's 1533-position model. The record is from RNAcentral.
GACGAACGCUGACGGCGUGCUUAACACAUGCAAGUCGAGCGGUAAGGCCCUUUCGGGGGUACACGAGCGGCGAACGGGUGAGUAACACGUGGGUGACCUGCCCUCAGCUCUGGGAUAAGCCUGGGAAACCGGGUCUAAUACUGGAUAUGACUCCAUGACGCAUGUUGUGGGGUGGAAAGCCUUGUGCGGCUGAGGAUGGGCCCGCGGCCUAUCAGCUUGUUGGUGGGGUGANGGCCUACUAAGGCGACGACGGGUAGCCGGCCUGAGAGGGCGACCGGCCACACUGGGACUGAGACACGGCCCAGACUCCUACGGGAGGCAGCAGUGGGGAAUCUUGCGCAAUGGGCGAAAGCCUGACGCAGCGACGCCGCGUGAGGGAUGACGGCCUCGGUUGUAAC